AUGUUUCUGUCCAGCCUUCUGAAGGUGGUAAUGGCUUCAAUGUGGCUGGGAUCCAGUAUUUCCCAAAAGGUAACUCAAGCCCCACCAGCGAUGUUAGUACAGGAGAAGGAGGCUGUCAUCCUGGAAUGCACAUAUGACACCAGCGAUCCAAAUUAUAGUCUAUUGUGGUACAAGCAGCCCAGCCGCGGGGAGAUGAUUUUCCUUGUUCGUCAAGAUUCUCACAACCAACAAAAUGCCACAGAAGGUCGCUACUCAUUGAAUUUCCAGAAGGCAAGAAAAUCCAUCCAUCUUGUCAUCUCAGCUUCACAGCUGGAGGACUCUGCAGUGUAUUUCUGUGCACUCAGGAGCCCACAGUGAGAGGCAAGCUGGAGGGAGGUGUACCCAAACCCCAGAGCUCUUGUUGAUACAUCCACCUGUUGUAGGGAUCAAGGCAGGGAAUUCCAUCCUACACAGGAAGUGGCUAAGGCUGGGGCAGCUCAGAUGGAGGGUUAGAGGGAAAACCUGACUCUAAGAAAAUACCUCUCUAGAUAAGAAUUAUCAUUCAUCAAAAACAUCCUUACCCCUGAAAAUUUGUGUUGAAAGGGUUUAUUGAAAACUAGAAAAGCCACGAUAAACAAUU
Molecule: non-coding RNA, 619 nt
Organism: Puma concolor (puma)
Lineage: Eukaryota; Metazoa; Chordata; Mammalia; Carnivora; Felidae
Source: the annotation of a RefSeq genome assembly